Molecule: transfer RNA, 70 nt
Filed under: Triatoma rubrofasciata (large kissing bug)
Lineage: Eukaryota; Metazoa; Arthropoda; Insecta; Hemiptera; Reduviidae
Description: tRNA-Lys
Source: RNAcentral
CAUUAAGUGACUGAAAGUAAGUAUUGGUCUCUUAAACCAAAAUAUGAUAAUUAACAAUUAUCCUUAAUGA